AGUUUAAAAUUAUUUAAUAUUUUUCUUUAUAAGGAAACAUAAAGCACCUUGUUGGAAAGAUAAUGUAUUCAUUUAACAGACCAAGACUUCCACCACAUGAAGGCCAUUUUCUUCUCCUGAUUUGAGUUCUGCCAUUCAGGUACACUGCACCUUUUUUACCCAAGUAAAAUGAAAUGGGUCAGUCGGACUUAAUCAACAUCUGAACAAAACAGCUAUCAACAAUACCAGUAAAACUAGUUUCCUGAAUAAAAUAUUUUUCUUGCUUUAAACCAAAAAGAUGAAAUAAUGCCAAUGACAGACAUGAAUGACUUGCUAUCAGUUGUUCUACUUAGCAAUUUAUGGGUUUCAAGUGUGAUUUUGUAAAAAAUUUGUUUUGUCUAAUAUUGAUAUUUGAUACCUACAGCAAGUAGUGUCCUGCCAAAACACGUGAAGAAGCAGAAUCAGCAUUUUCAGAGAUACCAAACAUUUUUGCACACAUUCAAAAAGCUACAGGAUCAAAUUAAUUCUAGCUUAUAGACUGAUAGCUAGAUCAGCCAGGGUCUCAUACAAAUGAGUCUGCAGCAGCCAGUGUUUUGGAGUUCUGCUCUGAAAUAUAACUUACCAUAGAUUCAUUUUGGAGCUGAAAUGAACUAAAACUGUAAUUAUACCAUUGGUUUAUUCCUGCAGAUCUCCUUGGGUCUGAUAAAAAAAUAUAAACUCGAGGUAUGUAUGUCCAGGAGAACUUAGUAUUCUAUUACAGUAUUUAAAAGUCUCUGUAUUAUACAUCACAUUUCUUCUUCUAUAAGAACUGUUUAAAACCAGUAAGAAUUCCAUAUUCUAGAACACAGACUCUGAAUAUAUUCAGACUGCUCAAAAAAAGAAGAUAAACAAAGGAGCUCAAACUCCCAACUCAAUGAAGUGUACUGCCUUACUGGUCAGCUCACUGUAGCUGUGUUUUGCACCACUCCAACCAGGUUUUUCCAUGGCAAAGCUUGAGCAGAAUUUGUACAUAGAUCCAAGAAUCCUUGUCAAAAAGGCAGUUGUGGACAAGGCCAUGAGGUUGAACUUUCUUUACGCUACACAGUCCCCCAGAAUUAUCUAACAUAACUUUACACAUUUAAACUCUGCAAUGCAACCACUACUCUCACUCAGCUUCAGAAUGGCCCUAUCCUUAUUUCAAACAAUUUUAGUGAAAAAGAAAACAGCCACAGAACACACAGGAUGAUAACUGUGUGCUAGGACACUGUGUAAGUGGAUGGACAGCAGCCUGGAGAAGGGCCAAGCAACACAGAAAGUGGAUGUGGCUGGUGUGUUCUCAGAAGGAUCUGCCAUAAACACUGUACACAUAAGCACACCCGUGCCAUGUGGCUUGGUGACUGGUAGCUGCCCCUGGCUGGCUGGUACUUUAUCAUCAGAUGUAGCACAAGCCUCCUGCUGCACACCACUGUGUGAAGUCCACUGAUCUCAGUGGAACUUGAUACAGAGUAAGGUGCUACACAGUGCAGAAGUGUUAGGACUUGACAAAAAAAAGGUUAGGGGCAAAAGCAUCUCAUUUUGCAACUCCCCCCUAAUGAUUUUUAAGCAUGUUAAGAGGAUGUUACCAGCACACACAGAUGCCUGAUGUUUGCUCCACAAGCUCCAAAAGUCCCUGUCCCUCAGAAAGCUGGCUGGUGGCACUGCAGACACAAUCCCCUUUCUCCUGGGAUCUCACAGCAGGACAGCAAGCCCCAGUGCAGGGAGAAUGCUGUAACAGGGGAACAAGGCUUCUGCCUCUCACCAUCGGGCUUGCUCUGAGCAGGAAAAUGUCCAAGAUGACUGGUUGUGCUGGGGCACAGGCUUUGGCCUCAAUUCACUUCUCAGUAAGAAGUAACUUUGUAUCUGACUAAAUUGCAUACUGGUACAACUGCUUGAAAUGAGAAACAUUUGUUUUUGCCUUACUUUUAGACCACUGAAUGAACAAUGGGUAAAUAACACUUGUUUGGCAUUACAAAGGUAAUAGCAAGCAUCUUCAGUUAUUUUUAAAAAAGCACAAUAUUUUCCAUGUCCUGAAGAAAUCUGUUACCUUUUAGUUUCUCCUGUGCCCUUUAAACAGCAAGA
This 2076-nucleotide long non-coding RNA is filed under the name Taeniopygia guttata (zebra finch). Its description in RNAcentral is "lncRNA (ENSTGUG00000026545.1)". The record is from RNAcentral. Lineage: Eukaryota; Metazoa; Chordata; Aves; Passeriformes; Estrildidae.